CCCCUUCUGCCGGGCCGUCCCAAGUUUGCACCGGUCGCUGGGGUUGGAUAUGCAACAAAAGGGAGGAUCUGCAGCACGAGAGACUGAGGGUGGCUACUAGAACAUUCAAACUUAAACACGCGGCCUGCGUCGUAUUUUUCACGGGCAGCUCUGGUCCAUGGAAUUUGCCCUCAGCACAUUCUCCAUCUGGGGCCACUGAACCUCGGGAUUUCUUAUGAUCUGCUAGAAUAAUCCAUGCCAGAAGCACCUUCAAGUGGAGUGACGGACACUCGUGUCAGAACGUGGCCUCUAAAGGAUGUUCUGAAAUCCUUGCUGCCAUCAGGCCCAGAUUGAGAGGAUUUUCUGGCCACUCUGUAUAUAGAGUUUAUUUUUUAUUCAUAAAUUACCUAAGUGUG
Mirounga angustirostris (Northern elephant seal) is the source of this 395-nucleotide long non-coding RNA. RefSeq lists it as uncharacterized. NCBI's taxonomy places the organism in Eukaryota, Metazoa, Chordata, Mammalia, Carnivora, Phocidae. The record is from RefSeq and is a predicted model, not a curated record. The transcript is spliced from 2 exons.